GGCUCAGAUUGAACGCUGGCGGCAUGCCUUACACAUGCAAGUCGAACGGUAACAGGUCUUCGGAUGCUGACGAGUGGCGAACGGGUGAGUAAUACAUCGGAACGUGCCCGAGAGUGGGGGAUAACGAGGCGAAAGCUUUGCUAAUACCGCAUACGAUCUCAGGAUGAAAGCAGGGGACCGCAAGGCCUUGCGCUCACGGAGCGGCCGAUGGCAGAUUAGGUAGUUGGUGGGAUAAAAGCUUACCAAGCCGACGAUCUGUAGCUGGUCUGAGAGGACGACCAGCCACACUGGGACUGAGACACGGCCCAGACUCCUACGGGAGGCAGCAGUGGGGAAUUUUGGACAAUGGGCGCAAGCCUGAUCCAGCCAUGCCGCGUGCAGGAUGAAGGCCUUCGGGUUGUAAACUGCUUUUGUACGGAACGAAAAGACUCUGGUUAAUACCUGGGGUCCAUGACGGUACC
This 461-nucleotide ribosomal RNA is filed under the name Acidovorax sp. IGS114. RNAcentral's name for it is "bacterial SSU rRNA". It matches the Rfam family "Bacterial small subunit ribosomal RNA", at positions 21 to 479 of the family's 1533-position model. Lineage: Bacteria; Pseudomonadati; Pseudomonadota; Betaproteobacteria; Burkholderiales; Comamonadaceae. The record is from RNAcentral.